This is a long non-coding RNA of Gambusia affinis (western mosquitofish), 1125 nucleotides long. RefSeq lists it as uncharacterized. The record is from RefSeq and is a predicted model, not a curated record. The transcript has 4 exons. NCBI's taxonomy places the organism in Eukaryota, Metazoa, Chordata, Actinopteri, Cyprinodontiformes, Poeciliidae.
GCAAGCUAAUUACUUGUCAAGAAAUGGUGGAUGAGGCAGACGCUUGAGACCCAGGUAGAAAUGAGAAGAUGAUGGUUUAAUGGUGAUAAUCCAGAAAAUAACAGAGUCCAAAACGCCGGGCAGCACGGCCGAGCGGAAGCCAGGGCUCGACGCCGGUAGCAACCGGUUACACGCGGGACUAGACAACGAACUGGACACACAAACGAAAGGGACGAGACGCUAACUGAGACGACAGCUAGACAAGGACCCGACGAGGAACAAAGAACACAGCUCCGGUUUGUUUGAAAAACAUCUGGAUGGCCUCCAGUUCGGUUCAAACCAGUGUUCAGGUGUUUACACCGGAGACAAAGUCAGACCUUCUUCCUCCCCCACUUCGCUGGAUCCACUUCUGUUUAAAUGACUGGGUUUGCAGGAGCGUUGGAGGAUAAAUGCUCCGGGGCAAACAAACAGAAUGCCACUUAGCUGUGCCGCAGGUGACUGACUCCAACAGCGCUGACGUCACCGGCCCACCUUUACUCGGCUGCUCAGCAGUCCUCCCUCACUUCUCCCCGACUGCAGUCUCUGUGGUCUGUUUAAUGAGCUAACUCUGAGCUGUGUUUAAGCUCAUUAACCUUUGUGGGUGGCGAGUCCCACUGAGAGGGAAAGCCAUUGAUAUACAGACACAGAUGUAGAGAGGGAGAUUUCUUUUUUCUUACCCUCCAAACACGCAGCUACUUACAACAGUGCAAAUUAAAGCUGAUAUCUUGAUAGCUAAGAACAAUGGAUGGUAGUUAAUAUCCCAGAGAUAAAGAGAAGUGGGGAAGGCUUGCCUGUUUAGUGAAAAUGAAUCCCAAUGAUAUUUUUUUGGCAUAGGAAACUGAUAAGGCCUCGUAAAUAAAUACACAACCUUUCCAAAGAAAUGUAUCAAUUUAACAACAAAAAAAACUGGGUGAGAUGCUCCAGAUGGAUAAUUGCUGCAUGGAUGAUUAUGGUUCAGCUAGCAACAAAUUACUUCACCUAACUGAUGCAGAGAGUUUCUUCUUAUACCUUUAACAACCUUAGAAGAUAAAACAACUCUUCCACAACCAAAAAUUCAAGUCACUGGCAUGCAUCGAGUAAAGAAACUGCCUAAAAAGAUUGCUGAAA